GCGGAGGAAAAGAAACCAACAGGGAUUGCCUCAGUAACGGCGAGUGAAGCGGCAACAGCUCAAAUUUUAAAUCUGGCCUCGUGCCCGAGUUGUAAUUUGCAGAGGAUGCUUUCCGGGUGCGGCGCCUCCCGAGUGCCCUGGAACGGGCCGCCAGAGAGGGUGAGAGCCCCGUAGGGUUGGACGCCUACCCCUUGUAAAGCUCCUUCGACGAGUCGAGUAGUUUGGGAAUGCUGCUCAAAACGGGAGGUAAAUUCCUUCUAAAGCUAAAUACUGGCCAGAGACCGAUAGCGCACAAGUAGAGUGAUCGAAAGAUGAAAAGCACUUUGAAAAGAGGGUUAAACAGUACGUGAAAUUGUUGAAAGGGAAGCGCUUGUGGCCAGACUUGGGCCCCGGGGAUCAGCUGGCUCGCCGCCAGCGUACUCCGCGGGGCCCAGGCCAGCAUCGGUUUCCCUAGGGGGACAAAAGCUCCGGGAACGUGGCUCCUCCGGGAGUGUUAUAGCCCGCUGCAGAAUACCCCUG
Molecule: ribosomal RNA, 519 nt
Filed under: Pseudodiplococcium ibericum
Lineage: Eukaryota; Fungi; Ascomycota; Sordariomycetes
Description: eukaryotic LSU rRNA
Rfam family: Eukaryotic large subunit ribosomal RNA
Source: RNAcentral